GUGAGCCCAAAAGGAACCAAGAACCAGACCCAUAACCCAAUUAACGCAACCAGAUCAAUUAGGUCAUUUCACACACCCCAAAUUAGGGUUUUAAAACUUGGCAACUCAUCUGCUCGGACAGAUACGCAGAACACACGGAACCCUCUUGCCUACUCUCACAGCAGGUAUGUGCCUUUCUACCUCUAUGUUUUUCCUCUAUCUAUAUAUGCAGGAUGUAUGGCUGUAAGUCAAAAUUUUUUUUUAUCUGAAAUCUACUUUUAUUGCAUUUUGAAUCAGAACAGAGAAGAAUCAGAGGAGAAAAUGGCCAAGUCGAAGAAUCACACAGCGCAUAAUCAGUCACACAAAGCCCAUAAGAACGGCAUCAAGAAACCCAAACGCCAUCGUCACACAUCCACCAAAGGGGUUCGUCGAAUUCUCCUGAUUGUUCUUCUAUUAUAAUAUAUUUGUUUGUUUGUGUGUGGCUCGCGUUAAGAAGAGUGUGACGUAAUUUCUGUGGAGUAAAAUUAACCUGGGUUGUUCUGAUUUCUCUCCGUAGAUCUAGCAGCAAAUAAAAUGGAAUCGAGAAGAAAGAUUCAUGUAGUCUAUCCAAAUUUAUGGAGGAUAAGGCUUGUUUAUUGUUUUACGAGGGCAUGUGUGUAUAUAUAUCUAUGCAUACAUAAAUUUGUAAUCUUUUUUUAUUUAUGUAUAUAUAGAUGGACCCGAAGUUCUUGAGGAACCAGAGGUACGCAAGGAAGCACAACAAGAAGAGUGGCGACACCGCCACUGAGGAAGAGUAGAUUGAUAUUACACAAUCACCCUUCCCCCUACAUUUGGGAAAUGGAUGAUAGGCAUUUGGGUAUCUGGUGUUUGGGGGUUUUGGGGUUUUUCUAUUAAUUUGAUGAUGAUUAGGGUUUACCUUUUGAUGGAUUAUUGUAAUGAGAUCCUUUUUAUGCCACUAUUAUGUAUGAUGUGAACCAUUAGCUUCUUAUUAUCAAUGCUGUUUGGAAUUCCCAUUUGAGCAACAUGUGAUCGAUAUUAUUUGGGUUUUUUUAAUUUUCAUGUCAUUUUGAUUUGAUUAACAGCUGAUGAUUGCUUUGAUCUUGUUCCUUACUAGCCUGUUUGGUAAGCUAAUAUGACAGUAAAAAAAUUUAAAAUAUUGCUCGGUGUAUUAUAUGAUCCUUAUCCAAUAUUGUGAAUCAAACAUUCCUAACAUGAAUUGCUUAGAAUGUUGGUUUUUUGAAUAUUUCCUCAUUUUGAUGUCUGUUGUAUUUGUCUUGGAAGUUCAUGUUGUACUUUGGAAUGUUGCUGGUCUGGAUAUUUAUGAUUCGGUUGUUUGUAUAAUCCCCUAUUCAUGAUGUAUAACCAAGAGACCAUAUAUUGACUGUGUAUACUCCAUGUAACAUUGUUUUCUGUUCUCAUUGUGCAUAGUUAUCAAAGAGGAGAACAUUUAGUGAGAAAAGAUUUAAAACAUGCACUUGAGGCAGUCAUCUGUAGCAUCAGAAGUAGGACUGCCCUUUCGUGUGUCAUAUUGGCCUCAUUCUUUGUUCCUAUGAAAGUCUCAUCUCUCACAUUCUACUGUUCUAGGGAAACCUUCAUUGUGCUCUGUCUCCGGUUUUGUUUGGGACUUUAAUCAUAUGGUGAGAAGUGGUUGGUCGGCACGUAUUUGCUUAUUCCUCAGGGCAAUACCAAGUAUGUUUUUUUGCGGCUUUUCCCAUCAAACGGGUUUGGAUGGGUAUUAGAUACUGUUUGAAACUCCACUUAGACAUCGAGAAGGGAUCUAUUACUGAAUUUUUCAAUAUGCUAUAUCGUAUUAUGAAAGUGACAAAUUCACAAAUUCGAUUCUCAUUGAUUGGAUGUUCCAAAUAAUUUUGCAAUGAGGUUCUGGGAAGUGGCGAACAUUUAUUAUUACCAUGGUGGGUUACAAAACACGUUUGGUCACUUGUUUACUUUCCCUUUUUAGUAACUCACAUUCUUUUUCUUGCGUGUGUUGGGACACAGAGCCUGAGCUUAGAGCAAAGUCGGUAGAAUUUGGAGAAGGAAGCUGAAGAAUAAUACUUUCUAUGUGGUGUGAAGAUUUGCUUGAUUUUCUCCGAGCCAAGAGGGAAACGAACUACUUGAACUGUCUGGCCUGGAAAUAGCAUGGAAAUAUAGUGAAGUUGGGUUAGAUGAAAUGAGAAUUUAUUGUGAACAGCUGCAACUAUUUGCAGAAAUCAGGCAUUUCAAUAAAUUCCAUACAUGCUUAAUCAAAUCAAGGAAAUGAUUAUGUUGUCCCCAAAUGUACAGAAGAAUAUGCUGUUGGAAAACAUUCAGCAGCAUCUGGUUUUUUAUGAUGAAUCAUGCUACAUAUACAAUCUAAUUUGACAACAUUGAUCGAGA
RNAcentral lists this long non-coding RNA (2355 nucleotides) under Olea europaea subsp. europaea. The record is from RNAcentral. Lineage: Eukaryota; Viridiplantae; Streptophyta; Magnoliopsida; Lamiales; Oleaceae.